ACUCCCUACGGGGCGCAGCAGUGGGGAAUAUUGCACAAUGGGGGAAACCCUGAUGCAGCAACGCCGCGUGAGUGAAGAAGUAUUUCGGUAUGUAAAGCUCGAUCAGCAGGGAAGAAAAUGACGGUACCUGAGUAAGAAGCCCCGGCUAACUACGUGCCAGCAGCCGCGGUAAUACGUAGGGGGCAAGCGUUAUCCGGAUUUACUGGGUGUAAAGGGAGCGUAGACGGCGAUGCAAGACUGAAGUGAAAGCACGGGGCUCAACCCCGGGAAUGCUUUGGAAACUGUAUGGCAGGAGUGCUGGAGAG
Molecule: ribosomal RNA, 305 nt
Filed under: uncultured bacterium
Lineage: Bacteria
Description: bacterial SSU rRNA
Rfam family: Bacterial small subunit ribosomal RNA
Source: RNAcentral